AGCGCAGGCGGGAAGACAAGUUGGAAGUGAAAUCCAUGGGCUCAACCCAUGAACUGCUUUCAAAACUGUUUUUCUUGAGUAGUGCAGAGGUAGGCGGAAUUCCCGGUGUAGCGGUGGAAUGCGUAGAUAUCGGGAGGAACACCAGUGGCGAAGGCGGCCUACUGGGCACCAACUGACGCUGAGGCUCGAAAGUGUGGGUAGCGAAAC
RNAcentral lists this ribosomal RNA (207 nucleotides) under uncultured bacterium. RNAcentral's name for it is "partial 16S ribosomal RNA". It matches the Rfam family "Bacterial small subunit ribosomal RNA", at positions 568 to 774 of the family's 1533-position model. The record is from RNAcentral.